RNAcentral lists this ribosomal RNA (915 nucleotides) under uncultured archaeon. RNAcentral describes it as "bacterial SSU rRNA". It matches the Rfam family "Archaeal small subunit ribosomal RNA", at positions 1 to 922 of the family's 1478-position model. The record is from RNAcentral.
UUCCGGUUGAUCCUGCCGGAGGCUACCGCUAUUGGAGUUCGAUUAAGCCAUGCGAGUCGAGAGUCUUAGGGACUCGGCGCACCGCUCAGUAACACGUGGGUAACCUGCCCUAUGCUGGGGAAUAACCUCGGGAAACUGAGAAUAAUGCCCCAUAGCCCACUACGCCUGGAACGGUGAGUGGGUCAAAGCUCCGGCGGCAUAGGAUGGGCCUGCGCCGUAUCAGGUUGUAGGGGGUGUAAAGUACCCUCUAGCCAUCAACGCGUACGGGUGUUGGGAGACAUUGCCCGGAGAUGGAUUCUGAGACACGAAUCCAGACCCUACGGGGUGCAGCAGGCGCGAAAACUUGGCAAUGCGAGCAAUCGUGACCAGGGAACUCCAAGUGCGUAGGGUAAGACCUACGCUUUUCUUGACUCUUCAAAGGUCUUGGAAUAAGGGGUGGGUAAGGACGGUGCCAGCCGCCGCGGUAAUACCGGCGCCUCAAGUGGUAGUCGCUUUUAUUGGGCCUAAAACGUCCGUAGCCGGUCUGGUGCAUUCGUGGGUAAAUCAACCCGCUCAACGGGUUGAAUUCUGCGAGCACGGCCAGACUUGGGACCGGGAGAGGUGUGGGGUACUCUCAGGGUAGGGGUAAAAUCCUGUCAUCCUGAGAGGACCACCUGUUGCGAAGGCGCCACACUAGAACGGAUCCGACGGUCAGGGACGAAACCUAGGGGCACGAACCGGAUUAGAUACCCGGGUAGUCCUAGGUGUAAACGCUGUGGACUUGAUGUUGGGGGCGCUCCGAGCGCUUUCAGUGUCGAAGCGAAGGUGAUAAGUCCACUGCCUGGGGAGUACGGUCGCAAGGCUGAAACUUAAAGGAAUUGGCGAGGGAGCACUGCAACCUGAGGAUUGUGCGGUUUAAUUGGAUUCAACGCCGGG